UGGCUCAGCGGUUAAGAGCACUGGCUGCUCUUCCAGAGGUCCUGAGUUCAAUUCUCAG
Molecule: non-coding RNA, 58 nt
Organism: Rattus norvegicus (Norway rat)
Lineage: Eukaryota; Metazoa; Chordata; Mammalia; Rodentia; Muridae
Source: Rfam